AGUGAACGCUGGCGGCGUGCUUAACACAUGCAAGUCGAACGAGAACGGAUUAUAGCUUGCUAUAAUUGUCAGCUAAGUGGCGCACGGGUGAGUAAUGUAUAGGUAAUAUGCCUCUUACUAAGGGAUAACAAAUGGAAACGUUUGCUAAUACCUUAUACUCCUUAUUAACAGAAGUUAAUAAGGGAAAGAUUUAUUGGUAAGAGAUUAGCCUGUAUUGUAUCAGUUAGUUGGUGGGGUAAUGGCUUACCAGGACUAUGACACAUAACUGGUUUGAGAGGAUGAUCAGACACACUGGAACUGAGACACGGUCCAGACUCCUACGGGAGGCAGCAGUGGGGAAGAUUGCACAAUGGACGAAAGUCUGAUGCAGCAACGCCGCGUGGAGGAUGACACAUUUCGGUGCGUAAGCUCCUUUUAUAUGAGAAGAUAAUGACGGUAUUAUAUGAAUAAGCACCAGUUAACUCCGUGCCAGCCGCCGCGGUAA
This 484-nucleotide ribosomal RNA is filed under the name uncultured bacterium. RNAcentral describes it as "partial 16S ribosomal RNA". It matches the Rfam family "Bacterial small subunit ribosomal RNA", at positions 29 to 523 of the family's 1533-position model. The record is from RNAcentral.